CUCUUCUUGUAUUUUGAUUUGAAGUACGGCCUGCCCACUGAUGUUAUUGAAGGGCCGCGGUAUUUUGACCGUGCAAAGGUAGCAUAAUCAUUAGUUUUUUAAUUGUGAACUGGUAUGAAUGGUUUGACGAGGCAUAAUCUGUCUUUAAUUUGGAUUAUUAUUGAAUUUAUUUUUUGGGUAAAAAUGCUCAAAUUUUAUUAUGGGACGAGAAAACCCUAUAAAGUUUUAUAUAGAACAUUUAUGAAUAUUUGUUUUGUUGUGUUGGAAUGUGACUGGUAUUUUGUUGGGGUGAUGGGAAGGUAUAUUUAACUCUUCUUUUUUUUCUUUUCACUUAUUUGUGUUUUUGUGAUCCUUUAUUAUUGAUUAUAAAAUCAAAUUACCUUAAGGAUAACAGAGUAAA
RNAcentral lists this ribosomal RNA (400 nucleotides) under Cryptotermes brevis. RNAcentral describes it as "partial large subunit ribosomal RNA". The record is from RNAcentral. Lineage: Eukaryota; Metazoa; Arthropoda; Insecta; Blattodea; Kalotermitidae.